UAUAUAUAUUUCCAUUGGGCUCGAGACAGCGCCUGCUAUGUGAGGAGCCUGGCAUCUUAACUUGUUCAUUUUCACUGAAAGAUAUCAAGGAUAUUAAACUUGAACAUAAGGUGCAAGUUCAGGGGCCAUAUGGAAUAGGCAGAUGGGUAGUCUUAAAUCAUGAUGAAAAUGAACCGUACACCGUAAGGGUGGGUUCUUGUUGCAGAACUCUAUCUGUAGUUUGCCUUGAUGAACACAAGAAACGCAUCAGAUUUAAAGGUUUUCCAGACUUGCUCAUCAAGCUCACCUCAAAUGGUAGAAAUCUUGCUCAAGAUUG
Non-coding RNA from Salvia hispanica, 316 nucleotides. Lineage: Eukaryota; Viridiplantae; Streptophyta; Magnoliopsida; Lamiales; Lamiaceae. The record is from RefSeq and is a predicted model, not a curated record.